RNAcentral lists this ribosomal RNA (467 nucleotides) under uncultured bacterium. Its description in RNAcentral is "partial 16S ribosomal RNA". It matches the Rfam family "Bacterial small subunit ribosomal RNA", at positions 28 to 506 of the family's 1533-position model. The record is from RNAcentral.
GACGAACGCUGGCGGCGUGCUUAACACAUGCAAGUCGAACGGAAAGGCCCUGCUUUUGUGGGGUGCUCGAGUGGCGAACGGGUGAGUAACACGUGAGUAACCUGCCCUUGACUUUGGGAUAACUUCAGGAAACUGGGGCUAAUACCGGAUAGGAGCUCCUGCUGCAUGGUGGGGGUUGGAAAGUUUCGGCGGUUGGGGAUGGACUCGCGGCUUAUCAGCUUGUUGGUGGGGUAGUGGCUUACCAAGGCUUUGACGGGUAGCCGGCCUGAGAGGGUGACCGGCCAAAUGGGGACUGAGAUCCGGCCCAGCCCCCUACGGGGGGCAGGAGGGGGGAAUAUUGCAAAAGGGGCGGAAGCCGGAGGCAGAAACCCCGGGGGCGGGAGGACGGCCUUCGGGUUGAAAACCGCUUUCGCCUGUGACGAAGGGUGGGGGGCGGGAAUGGGUAAAGAAGCACCGGCAAACUACGG